AAAUAAUUGCUAAAUUAAUCCCCAUAUUCUAAGUCUUCCCUUUCUGAGGAUUUCAUCAUAGGAUGACAGAAUAUUUGUUUUAACAAGAUAAAGGUGACAAAUAACUUAAAAUGGGGGAGAAAACCUGCCUAAUUUGGAAAAAGAAUGUCAGGUAUAAGUUGUUAAUGAUCAGCAGUCAGCUGUAGAGCUUGAUAGACACUUAGCUGAGCCAAUCCUCAGUCCUUCCAUUGGCCCUUGUGACUGUAUCCUAACCCAUUUUCCUCCAUAGCAUUUCCUUUCCCCAGGAUCCUCUCACAGAAUUCACCUAUAGAUUGCAAUUCUCUCUCACCAUGCUAAGAUUAUCUUUCUUACUACCAAUUCUUUCUAGGCUUCAUGAUUUCUUUCCUAACGUCUUCUGAUUCGACUUUGAGACAACUCAGCACUGUGGAAUCUUUGCUGCAACUUCUCCAAUGAACAGAUGUUCCUUUCCAUCCUCUUAACAAGAUUCCGUAUCUUGGGGGCUCCUUCAGAUUUCUCCUAAAGAUGUCUCCUUGAGCAUUACUUCAGAUUCUGGGCUGCAGGAAAAUCUGGUCCAUGUUUUUGGCUCCUAAUAAACGUCUUGAGGUGUCCACCCUAGAAAAUCGGAACAAGUGGUUGCUGGCAAGCAAAGCAUGUGAUGGUGUCCCAGUUGGGUUCAGAUGGCUCAGAAGAUGUAUUUGGUUCAAGAUUGGAUGGGGAGUGGCAGACCUCCACUUUGGCCAGUGAGGUGAGUGGCUGUGGCAGACUGGAUGAUGGGUCCAAACCCUUCUGAUCAGACUGAUCCUUGAGGUGCUAGAAGUCUUGAAUAGGAAAUCAAGGAAUCAAGAUCUCAGAGGCUAAGCUCUGCGCCUUACUUACAGGGAUCUUAACCUUUUGUCCUGAAAUUUCCCAACAAGGAGCAUUUACUAAACAAGAAU
This 935-nucleotide long non-coding RNA is filed under the name Monodelphis domestica (gray short-tailed opossum). RNAcentral's name for it is "lncRNA (ENSMODG00000030552.2)". The record is from RNAcentral. Lineage: Eukaryota; Metazoa; Chordata; Mammalia; Didelphimorphia; Didelphidae.